RNAcentral lists this ribosomal RNA (2138 nucleotides) under Escherichia coli. RNAcentral describes it as "partial 23S ribosomal RNA". It matches the Rfam family "Bacterial large subunit ribosomal RNA", at positions 1 to 2164 of the family's 2925-position model. The record is from RNAcentral. Lineage: Bacteria; Pseudomonadati; Pseudomonadota; Gammaproteobacteria; Enterobacterales; Enterobacteriaceae.
GGUUAAGCGACUAAGCGUACACGGUGGAUGCCCUGGCAGUCAGAGGCGAUGAAGGACGUGCUAAUCUGCGAUAAGCGUCGGUAAGGUGAUAUGAACCGUUAUAACCGGCGAUUUCCGAAUGGGGAAACCCAGUGUGUUUCGACACACUAUCAUUAACUGAAUCCAUAGGUUAAUGAGGCGAACCGGGGGAACUGAAACAUCUAAGUACCCCGAGGAAAAGAAAUCAACCGAGAUUCCCCCAGUAGCGGCGAGCGAACGGGGAGCAGCCCAGAGCCUGAAUCAGUGUGUGUGUUAGUGGAAGCGUCUGGAAAGGCGCGCGAUACAGGGUGACAGCCCCGUACACAAAAAUGCACAUGCUGUGAGCUCGAUGAGUAGGGCGGGACACGUGGUAUCCUGUCUGAAUAUGGGGGGACCAUCCUCCAAGGCUAAAUACUCCUGACUGACCGAUAGUGAACCAGUACCGUGAGGGAAAGGCGAAAAGAACCCCGGCGAGGGGAGUGAAAAAGAACCUGAAACCGUGUACGUACAAGCAGUGGGAGCACGCUUAGGCGUGUGACUGCGUACCUUUUGUAUAAUGGGUCAGCGACUUAUAUUCUGUAGCAAGGUUAACCGAAUAGGGGAGCCGAAGGGAAACCGAGUCUUAACUGGGCGUUAAGUUGCAGGGUAUAGACCCGAAACCCGGUGAUCUAGCCAUGGGCAGGUUGAAGGUUGGGUAACACUAACUGGAGGACCGAACCGACUAAUGUUGAAAAAUUAGCGGAUGACUUGUGGCUGGGGGUGAAAGGCCAAUCAAACCGGGAGAUAGCUGGUUCUCCCCGAAAGCUAUUUAGGUAGCGCCUCGUGAAUUCAUCUCCGGGGGUAGAGCACUGUUUCGGCAAGGGGGUCAUCCCGACUUACCAACCCGAUGCAAACUGCGAAUACCGGAGAAUGUUAUCACGGGAGACACACGGCGGGUGCUAACGUCCGUCGUGAAGAGGGAAACAACCCAGACCGCCAGCUAAGGUCCCAAAGUCAUGGUUAAGUGGGAAACGAUGUGGGAAGGCCCAGACAGCCAGGAUGUUGGCUUAGAAGCAGCCAUCAUUUAAAGAAAGCGUAAUAGCUCACUGGUCGAGUCGGCCUGCGCGGAAGAUGUAACGGGGCUAAACCAUGCACCGAAGCUGCGGCAGCGACGCUUAUGCGUUGUUGGGUAGGGGAGCGUUCUGUAAGCCUGUGAAGGUGUGCUGUGAGGCAUGCUGGAGGUAUCAGAAGUGCGAAUGCUGACAUAAGUAACGAUAAAGCGGGUGAAAAGCCCGCUCGCCGGAAGACCAAGGGUUCCUGUCCAACGUUAAUCGGGGCAGGGUGAGUCGACCCCUAAGGCGAGGCCGAAAGGCGUAGUCGAUGGGAAACAGGUUAAUAUUCCUGUACUUGGUGUUACUGCGAAGGGGGGACGGAGAAGGCUAUGUUGACCGGGCGACGGUUGUCCCGGUUUAAGCGUGUAGGCUGGUUUUCCAGGCAAAUCCGGAAAAUCAAGGCUGAGGCGUGAUGACGAGGCACUACGGUGCUGAAGCAACAAAUGCCCUGCUUCCAGGAAAAGCCUCUAAGCAUCAGGUAACAUCAAAUCGUACCCCAAACCGACACAGGUGGUCAGGUAGAGAAUACCAAGGCGCUUGAGAGAACUCGGGUGAAGGAACUAGGCAAAAUGGUGCCGUAACUUCGGGAGAAGGCACGCUGAUAUGUAGGUGAAGUCCCUCGCGGAUGGAGCUGAAAUCAGUCGAAGAUACCAGCUGGCUGCAACUGUUUAUUAAAAACACAGCACUGUGCAAACACGAAAGUGGACGUAUACGGUGUGACGCCUGCCCGGUGCCGGAAGGUUAAUUGAUGGGGUCAGCGCAAGCGAAGCUCUUGAUCGAAGCCCCGGUAAACGGCGGCCGUAACUAUAACGGUCCUAAGGUAGCGAAAUUCCUUGUCGGGUAAGUUCCGACCUGCACGAAUGGCGUAAUGAUGGCCAGGCUGUCUCCACCCGAGACUCAGUGAAAUUGAACUCGCUGUGAAGAUGCAGUGUACCCGCGGCAAGACGGAAAGACCCCGUGAACCUUUACUAUAGCUUGACACUGAACAUUGAGCCUUGAUGUGUAGGAUAGGUGGGAGGCUUAGAAGUG